UCAGUACUCCCUCCGUCCGAAAAUACCUGUCAUCAAAAUAGACAAAAAAAAGAUGUAUCUAAAACUAUACAUCUUUUUUUGUCUAUUUUGAUGACAAGUAUUUUCGGACGGAGGGAGUACUAU
Triticum urartu is the source of this 123-nucleotide non-coding RNA. The record is from Rfam. Lineage: Eukaryota; Viridiplantae; Streptophyta; Magnoliopsida; Poales; Poaceae.